UCCGAGUUGUCCCCGGCAGUCUCUCUAGAGUCCCCACCAUUACGUGCUGGCAACUAAAGACAGGGGUUGCGCUCGUUGCGGCACUUAAGCCAACACCUCACGACACGAGCUGACGACAGCCAUGCAGCACCUGUGGCAGGUUCCGGACUGGAUACCGUUGGGGAACCGUUUCCGGCCCCUACUUCCUGCCCCUUUCGGACAUGUCAAGCCCAGGAUGAGGUUCUUCGCGUAGCCUCGAAUUAAGCCACAUGCUCCACCGCUUGCGUGAGCCCCCGUCGAUUCCUUUGAGUUUCAGCCUUGCGACCAUACCCCCCAGGCGGGGAACUUAGCACUUUUGCUCCGGCAGUGAGCCCAUAUCAGCCCACUACCUAGUUCCCAACGUUUAGGGCCAGGACUAC
This 398-nucleotide unclassified non-coding RNA is filed under the name uncultured Planctomycetia bacterium. RNAcentral's name for it is "contains 16S-23S intergenic spacer region". Lineage: Bacteria; Pseudomonadati; Planctomycetota; Planctomycetia. The record is from RNAcentral.